Ribosomal RNA from Erinaceus europaeus (western European hedgehog), 106 nucleotides. The record is from Ensembl. NCBI's taxonomy places the organism in Eukaryota, Metazoa, Chordata, Mammalia, Eulipotyphla, Erinaceidae.
GUCUACGGCCACACCACCCUGAACACUCCUGAUCAAGUCUGAUCACAGAAGCUAAGCAGUAUGGGCCUGGUUAGUACUUGGAUGGGGAAAUCAGGAAUCAUCAAUG